This 400-nucleotide ribosomal RNA is filed under the name uncultured bacterium. RNAcentral describes it as "bacterial SSU rRNA". It matches the Rfam family "Bacterial small subunit ribosomal RNA", at positions 355 to 752 of the family's 1533-position model. The record is from RNAcentral.
UGAGGAAUAUUGGUCAAUGGAGGCAACUCUGAACCAGCCAUGCCGCGUGCAGGAUGACGGUCCUAUGGAUUGUAAACUGCUUUUGUACGGGAAGAAAUGUAAUUACGUGUAAUUAUUUGACGGUACCGUAAGAAUAAGGAUCGGCUAACUCCGUGCCAGCAGCCGCGGUAAUACGGAGGAUCCGAGCGUUAUCCGGAAUUAUUGGGUUUAAAGGGUUCGUAGGCGGUUGAGUAAGUCAGUGGUGAAAUCUUAUAGCUUAACUAUAAAAUUGCCGUUGAUACUGCUUGACUUGAAUAGUAUGGAAGUAAUUAGAAUAUGUAGUGUAGCGGUGAAAUGCUUAGAUAUUACAUGGAAUACCAAUUGCGAAGGCAGAUUACUACGUACUUAUUGACGCUGAUGA